Molecule: long non-coding RNA, 593 nt
Organism: Raphanus sativus (radish)
Lineage: Eukaryota; Viridiplantae; Streptophyta; Magnoliopsida; Brassicales; Brassicaceae
Exons: 2
Source: RefSeq, a predicted model, not a curated record
AAGAUACGAGCUUUACGCAUUUUACAACGAAUCCGCCAUUACAACACCUCCGCCGGCACCACUACCGCCGGUUUCAGUUCCUCCGCCGCCGCCGGGGAAAGGUGGGAGUUCAAGUGUACUAGUGGUAGCCAUUGUGGUUCCUAUUAUAGUGGUUGCUCUGCUUUUCAUAGCUUGUUAUUGUUUCCUUGCAAAGAGGGCAAAGAAGACUUUUGACACAGCAUCUGCAUUUGAUGGUAAAGAUGUCAAUUGAAUUAUAAUCUGAUUUAUGUCAAUGUUCUAGGCAUGGAGGCUCUGGAGUAAUGGGACACCGCUAGACCUCAUGGAUCCAAUGAUUUUAGAUAAUUUCCAAAGGAAUGAAGUUGUUCGAUGUGUCCAUAUAGGUCUUUUGUGUGUUCAAGAAGAUCCUGUAGAGCGUCCACCCUUGUCAACCAUUGUUCUGAUGCUCACUAGUAAUACUGUGACAUUACCCGUCCCUAGGCAACCAGGUCUUUUCUUUCAGAGUAGACUUGGAAAAGACCCUCUUGUAACCGCUGGAACUCACAAAAAAAGAAUUUGUAAAUAGGCAAAAUCAUGUUUAACAAACUUCAUCUUAA